RNAcentral lists this ribosomal RNA (494 nucleotides) under uncultured bacterium. RNAcentral's name for it is "partial 16S ribosomal RNA". The record is from RNAcentral.
CGGGCUUAAUGGCGCCGACGACCGUGCCUCAAUCGGCCACGAAUAAGGACUCCAUGGCAGUCUAUGGGUAUUUAUCUAUGAAAAGAAGGGAGUCUUUUCGUCAAAUGUUGGGUAUCCCGGAAGUAGGACGUGCGCCGUACCGACCCAGUCUGAAGGCAGGUAACGGGUUAUAAGGAAUGACGACGGAGGGCAUCCUCAGCCCAGGCACAGAGUCAUGGGCACACCCCCUGGUGCGAGAGUGCGGGGGAUGACUAGUAGCGGAACCAUCCGGCAAUGGGAUGGUUGAUCGAUUAGUCUGCGUGUGGUUAGAGAUUGGCGGAGUUGAAAUUAGUAGUCAGGUCCAUCUGAUUACUGGUGUAGGCCAUAAUGAGGGACAAAGGGUCCCGAUAGGGUCACAAUCUCCAUACAGCACAUGCGCAAUGAGUGGGCACGCGGCGAGAGUUUGUUGGCUUCAACGAGAUGGCGAGCUGAACGUACAUAAUCCGGACCGCGAU